GGACUACCGGGGUUUCUAAUCCCGUUCGCUACCCUGGCCUUCGUGUUUCAGCGUCAGUUUCUGCCCAGAGUCUCGCUUUCGCAACAAGUGUUCCUCUCGAUAUCUACGCAUUUCACUGCUACACCGAGAAUUCCAGACUCCUCUACAGACCUCCAGCAUGACAGUAUCGGAUGCUAUUCGGAGGUUGAGCCCCCGGAUUUCACAUCUGACUUUUCACGCCGCCUACACACCCUUUACGCCCAGUGAUUCCGAACAACGCUUGAGACCUCUGUAUUACCGCGGCUGCUGGCAC
RNAcentral lists this ribosomal RNA (292 nucleotides) under uncultured Verrucomicrobiota bacterium. RNAcentral's name for it is "uncultured Verrucomicrobia bacterium partial 16S ribosomal RNA". The record is from RNAcentral. Lineage: Bacteria; Pseudomonadati; Verrucomicrobiota.